UGGAGUAUGGUGUAGUGGUAGCACGAAGGCCUCUGACUCCUUCGGUGUAGGUUCGAUUCCUACUACUCCUGCCA
This 74-nucleotide transfer RNA is filed under the name Acidaminococcus sp. CAG:917. Its description in RNAcentral is "transfer RNA-Gln(CTG)". It matches the Rfam family "tRNA". From Rfam's summary of the family: Transfer RNA (tRNA) molecules are approximately 80 nucleotides in length. Lineage: Bacteria; Bacillati; Bacillota; Negativicutes; Acidaminococcales; Acidaminococcaceae. The record is from RNAcentral.